GAGAUAAGAGAUAAGAAAUAAUAACCCUAAAUAUCAAAGAAAUAGGAAAUAAGAGGAAUACGAACAAUACAGAAUAGGGGAACAGAAAACGGAUACCCAUGUAAUAGUAACAUGCACUCACAGACCUAAUACACCCACCACACCCAAACUCUCCUAACACCUAGCCACAACCUACACACUCACACUAGCCGUCUACCCUAAUCUGCG
RNAcentral lists this long non-coding RNA (207 nucleotides) under Capsicum annuum. Its description in RNAcentral is "long non-coding RNA (CANN_LNC002107)". Lineage: Eukaryota; Viridiplantae; Streptophyta; Magnoliopsida; Solanales; Solanaceae. The record is from RNAcentral.